CGCCAUGAAUGUCUUUUUUUUUUUCUUCACUAAUACUAUUAAAAGUUCAAUAUUUGAAGGUACAUAAUAAUGUGUCUAUCAUAAUCUAUAGACAAAAUAAAACUCUUUAAUUGAUCGACUUAAUUAAGUAAAGAAAGAACAAUAUAACGUUGCUUAAUUAUUCAUCAAUUUAUGAAUCAUCGAACAACGAUGUCAAGCAAUUUAUAAGGAAAAGAAAAGAAAAGAG
Molecule: long non-coding RNA, 226 nt
Organism: Vespa mandarinia (Asian giant hornet)
Lineage: Eukaryota; Metazoa; Arthropoda; Insecta; Hymenoptera; Vespidae
Source: RefSeq, a predicted model, not a curated record